UACGUAGGGUGCAAGCGUUGUCCGGAAUUAUUGGGCGUAAAGAGCUCGUAGGUGGCCUGUCGAGUCGGCUGUGAAAACUCGGGGCUCAACUCCGAGCUUGCAGUCGAUACGGGCAGGCUAGAGUUCGGCAGGGGAGACUGGAAUUCCUGGUGUAGCGGUGAAAUGCGCAGAUAUCGGGAGGAACACCUGUGGCGAAAGCGGCUCACUGGACCACAACUGACGCUGAGGCGCGAAAGCUAGGGGAGCAAACAGG
Molecule: ribosomal RNA, 253 nt
Filed under: uncultured bacterium
Lineage: Bacteria
Description: partial 16S ribosomal RNA
Rfam family: Bacterial small subunit ribosomal RNA
Source: RNAcentral